CAGUCGCCACGGGAAUACGAAGGGGGCUAGCGUUGUUCGGAAUUACUGGGCGUAAAGCGCACGUAGGCGGAUAUUUAAGUCAGGGGUGAAAUCCCGCAGCUCAACUGCGGAACUGCUUUUGAUACUGGGUAUCUUGAGUAUGGAAGAGGUUAGUGGAAUUGCGAGUGUAGAGGUGAAAUUCGUAGAUAUUCGCAGGAACACCAGUGGCGAAGGCGGCUAACUGGUCCAUAACUGACGCUGAGGUGCGAAAGCGUGGGGAGCAAACAGGAUUAGAUACCCCUGUAGUCCCUGUCUCUUAUAC
RNAcentral lists this ribosomal RNA (301 nucleotides) under uncultured bacterium. Its description in RNAcentral is "partial 16S ribosomal RNA". It matches the Rfam family "Bacterial small subunit ribosomal RNA", at positions 509 to 807 of the family's 1533-position model. The record is from RNAcentral.